Molecule: long non-coding RNA, 337 nt
Filed under: Brassica napus (rape)
Lineage: Eukaryota; Viridiplantae; Streptophyta; Magnoliopsida; Brassicales; Brassicaceae
Description: long non-coding RNA (BNAP_LNC016590)
Source: RNAcentral
UUCUGCACUGCAGGGUAGCCACCAGAAGAUCAUCAUUGACGGUAGGAAGGAAGGUUCUUGCACUUUCUCACCAAAGUUUGUGCAAUAGCAGGAGGUGUAUGAUUGAUCGCUCUCUCUCUCUCUUUUCUCCAAGCAACGUACAAUAGAUUGUAAAAAUCAUUAAUAAAUGUUGGUUUAUCAUUUGUAAAACCGUAGGCGCUUCCACAGUUUCUGGAAUCCUUGAUUUAUUUUUAUUCGGCUGAGUCUUACAACCCAAUCAUCGGGAACAAAGAGCAGUUCAAGUAGCUGAAAUAUACAAGUGUUGUAAGAUUGAUGUUGGAUAGGGUGGCAGAAACUG